AUGACGUGGAUGCUCCAACCUGAGCUCAUGAACGACAUUCUUGGAGUCAGCCUCUCAAACUUCCCUGAUUUAUCAAAGAUUCAGUUGAGAGAAUGUGACAACAAUCACUCAAGAAACUUCAUGGCAGUACUAAGAGCCCUAAGGGAGAGGGAUUCUUCAUGUUACCAGCUGCCCCGUGUGGUACGGCAAGGCGAGCAGCCAAGAGAAGGCUUCCUACUUCUGUCCAACCUCGUCGAGGAUCAGAUGGCAGGAACAAGCAGUUACAUGGACUGGAUACUCCAAAUUCACCGCCAAACACAGAGCUCGUGA
This 309-nucleotide ribosomal RNA is filed under the name Triticum aestivum (bread wheat). RNAcentral's name for it is "partial small subunit ribosomal RNA". The record is from RNAcentral. Lineage: Eukaryota; Viridiplantae; Streptophyta; Magnoliopsida; Poales; Poaceae.